GAAAUGCGAUAAGUAAUGUGAAUUGCAGAAUUCAGUGAAUCAUCGAAUCUUUGAACGCACCUUGCACCCUUUGGUAUUCCGAAGGGUACGCCCGUUUGAGCGUCAUUGUAAUCUCACUUCAACGACUUUUGUUGUUUGAAUGUGGACUUGGAUGUUGCCGUGUCAUUACGGCUCGUCUCAAAUGCCUGAGUGUACCCUGUUUUGCAGCGUAUCCAGUGUAAUAAACAUUUCACUAGAGUUGGUCGAAAGACCGCGUUUUGCGAUUUGGGCUCUAUGCUUCAAACCGUCCACUUGUGGACAAUACUUGACAAUUUGGCCUCAAAUCGGGUGGGACUACCCGCUGAACUUAAGCAUAUCAAUAAGCGGAGGAAAAGAAACU
RNAcentral lists this ribosomal RNA (379 nucleotides) under uncultured Sebacinaceae. Its description in RNAcentral is "eukaryotic LSU rRNA". The stretch from base 1 to 105 matches the Rfam family "5.8S ribosomal RNA", at positions 50 to 154 of the family's 154-position model. The record is from RNAcentral. Lineage: Eukaryota; Fungi; Basidiomycota; Agaricomycetes; Sebacinales; Sebacinaceae.